This 253-nucleotide ribosomal RNA is filed under the name uncultured bacterium. Its description in RNAcentral is "partial 16S ribosomal RNA". It matches the Rfam family "Bacterial small subunit ribosomal RNA", at positions 524 to 776 of the family's 1533-position model. The record is from RNAcentral.
UACGUAGGGUGCGAGCGUUAAUCGGAAUUACUGGGCGUAAAGCGUGCGCAGGCGGCUUUGCAAGACAGAUGUGAAAUCCCCGGGCUCAACCUGGGAAUUGCAUUUGAAACUGGGAAACUAGAGUGUGUGAGAGGGGGGUAGAAUUCCAAGUGUAGCGGUGAAAUGCGUAGAUAUGCGGAGGAACACCAAUGGCGAAGGCAAUCCCCUGGGCCUGUACUGACGCUCAUGCACGAAAGCGUGGGGAGCAAACAGG